This 408-nucleotide ribosomal RNA is filed under the name Aphis odinae. RNAcentral's name for it is "partial 12S small subunit ribosomal RNA". Lineage: Eukaryota; Metazoa; Arthropoda; Insecta; Hemiptera; Aphididae. The record is from RNAcentral.
UUAAUAGUUAAGUUCUUUAAAUUUAAAAAAUUUGGCGGUAUUUUAGUCUUAUUAGAGGAACCUGUUUAAUGAUUGAUAAUCCACGAUUAAUUUUACUUAUUUUAAUUAAUUCAUAUAUCGCUGUCAUGAAUAUAUUUAAAAAUUUAUUUUCUUUAUUUAUUUUUUUAAUUUAUGUUAAGUCAAGAUGUGGUUUAUAAAUAAGAAUAUAAUGGGUUACAAUAAAUUUAAUUUUUAGAUUUUAAAUGAAAAUUAAAAUGAAAUUGGAUUUAAUAGUAAAUUUAUUUAUUUAAUUAAUAUGAAUAAAGAUCUAAAAUAUGUACAUAUUGCCCGUCAUUCUUAUUAAAAAUAAGACAAGUCGUAACAAAGUAAGUGUACUGGAAAGUGUAUUUAGAAAGAUUUAUUUAAAAA